CGGAAACUUAACGGAGUUUUUAACGGAAGGACUAAAAAGAUGGUGGACAAUCUCAGGGAUCACUUUUAUCGAUUUGGAAUCCCAGGAACCAAAGUGAUGAGUUAUGCAAAUCUCAAGGACCAUUUUGGCGAUCUACCCAAAUUUUAAUAAAAACCUUCUAAAUCGUUAUAACCCCUCGCUAUAACACCUGUGUAGUUUAAAAAAAUCAUACCACGUAUCAAUGUAAAAUCAAAAGUAUAUCAACAAUAAAUCCAUAAAUAUACCACGAC
RNAcentral lists this long non-coding RNA (269 nucleotides) under Malus domestica (apple). Its description in RNAcentral is "long non-coding RNA (MDOM_LNC013305)". Lineage: Eukaryota; Viridiplantae; Streptophyta; Magnoliopsida; Rosales; Rosaceae. The record is from RNAcentral.